GACGAACGCUGGCGGCGUGCUUAACACAUGCAAGUCGAACGGAAAGGCCCUGCUUUUGUGGGGUGCUCGAGUGGCGAACGGGUGAGUAACACGUGAGUAACCUGCCCUUGACUUUGGGAUAACUUCAGGAAACUGGGGCUAAUACCGGAUAGGAGCUCCUGCUGCAUGGUGGGGGUUGGAAAGUUUCGGCGGUUGGGGAUGGACUCGCGGCUUAUCAGCUUGUUGGUGGGGUAGUGGCUUACCAAGGCUUUGACGGGUAGCCGGCCUGAGAGGGUGACCGGCCAAAUUGGGACUGAGAUGCGGCCCAGACUCCUACGGGAGGCAGCAGUGGGGAAUAUUGCACAAUGGGCGGAAGCCAGAUGCAGCAACGCCGCGUGCGGGAUGACGGCCUUCGGGUUGUAAACCGCUUUCGCCUGUGACGAAGCGUGAGUGACGGUAAUGGGUAAAGAAGCACCGGCUAACUACGUG
This 468-nucleotide ribosomal RNA is filed under the name uncultured bacterium. RNAcentral's name for it is "partial 16S ribosomal RNA". It matches the Rfam family "Bacterial small subunit ribosomal RNA", at positions 28 to 507 of the family's 1533-position model. The record is from RNAcentral.